This is a transfer RNA of Neotoma lepida (desert woodrat), 64 nucleotides long. It matches the Rfam family "tRNA", at positions 5 to 66 of the family's 71-position model. Rfam says of the family: Transfer RNA (tRNA) molecules are approximately 80 nucleotides in length. Their secondary structure includes four short double-helical elements and three loops (D, anti-codon, and T loops). The record is from Rfam. Lineage: Eukaryota; Metazoa; Chordata; Mammalia; Rodentia; Cricetidae.
GUGUGGCUCAGUUGGUAGAGUGCUUGCCUUGUAUGCAUGGGGUCCUGGGUUUGAUCCCCAGCAC